AACACAGCGGGGAAAGAAGACCCUGUUGAGCUUGACUCUAGUCCGACUCUGUGAAGAGUCAUGAGAGGUGUAGCAUAAGUGGGAGGCCUUGGCCGACAGUGAAAUACCACUACUUUCAUCGAUUCUUUACUUAUUCGGUAAGACGAGAAUUGAGCCUAUCCGGCUCUUCAUUCUGGUGUUAAGUGCAGCCACUCGGUGGCCGCUCGACUCGCGCCGAAGACAGUGUCAGGCGGGGAGUUUGACUGGGGCGGUACAUCUGUCAAAUCGUAACGCAGGUGUCCUAAGGCUAGCUCAGAGAGGACGGAAACCUCUCGUAGAGCAAAAGGGCAAAAGCUCGCUUGAUCUUGAUUUCCAGUACGAAUACAGACCGCGAAAGCGUGGCCUAUCGAUCCUUUUGAAUUAGAAGGUCUCUAGCAAGAGGUGUCAGAAAAGUUACCACAGGGAUAACUGGCUUGUGGCAGCCAAGCGUCCAUAGCGACGUUGCUUUUUGAUCCUUCGAUGUCGGCUCUUCCUAUCAUUGCGAAGCAGAAUUCGCCAAGCGUUGGAUUGUUCACCCACCAAUAGGGAACGUGAGCUGGGUUUAGACCGUCGUGAGACAGGUUAGUUUUACCCUACUGUGACUCGUUGUUGCGAUAGUAAUCCUGCUUAGUACGAGAGGAACCGCAGGUUCAGACAUUUGGUUCAUGUGCUUGGCCGAUCGGCCAAUGGUGCGAAGCUACCAUCUGAGGGAUUAUGACUGAACGCCUCUAAGUCAGAAUCCCGCCUAGUCAAGGCAACGAUAAAUUUGCUCCCCGGUGUCGGGAGGCACUUCUAUGCAACUUUUGUUACAGCUAAUGCCCCAUUAGAUGGCCUUGCCAAGCUGCUGAAAGGUAGCUUGGUUGCCAAAGCCGGACUACACGGUGCAACGUCGGGGCGCAAAAUCACUUGCAGACGACUUGAUUACUGGUCAAGGUGUUGUAUCCAGUAGAGCAGCCUCCAUACUGCGAUCUGUUGAGACUUAUCCUUUGAUUGGACGAUUU
Molecule: non-coding RNA, 1019 nt
Filed under: Toxocara canis (dog roundworm)
Lineage: Eukaryota; Metazoa; Nematoda; Chromadorea; Rhabditida; Toxocaridae
Description: Eukaryotic large subunit ribosomal RNA
Rfam family: Eukaryotic large subunit ribosomal RNA
Source: Rfam by way of RNAcentral